AACCGACCUGGCUCACACCGGUCUAAACUCAGAUCAUGUAAAAAUUCAAAGGUCGAACAGACCUAAUCUGCCAGCUCCUACACCAACAACAAAUUUUAAUCCAACAUCGAGGUCGCAAUCUUUUUUUUCGAUAAGAACUCUAAAAAAAAUAACGCUGUUAUCCCUAAGGUAAUUCAAUCUUUUAAUCUAUAAUAAGGAUCAAACACCCACAAAUUAGUGUAACAAUACAAAAAAAGUUAAUCUAAUUUUUCAAUCACCCCAACCAAAUAAUUAAACAAAUAAAAAAUUAUAUCAAUCCUAAAAAUUCCUUUCUUCUACAAUUAUAAAACUCUAUAGGGUCUUCUCGUCUUCAAUACAAAUUUAAGCUUUUUAACCUAAAAAUAAAUUUCUAAUUAAUUUAAGCAGAGACAGAAAUUUUUUCAUCAAACCUUUCAUUCAAGCUUCCAAUUAAAAAACUAGUGAUUAUGCUACCUUUGCACAGUCAAUAUACCGCGGCCAUUCAAUCUAUCAUCGGGCAGGCCAGACUUAAAAUCAUAAACAAUAAGCCAUG
RNAcentral lists this ribosomal RNA (550 nucleotides) under Trigonopterus hartleyensis. RNAcentral describes it as "partial 16S ribosomal RNA". Lineage: Eukaryota; Metazoa; Arthropoda; Insecta; Coleoptera; Curculionidae. The record is from RNAcentral.